RNAcentral lists this ribosomal RNA (400 nucleotides) under uncultured bacterium. Its description in RNAcentral is "bacterial SSU rRNA". It matches the Rfam family "Bacterial small subunit ribosomal RNA", at positions 28 to 430 of the family's 1533-position model. The record is from RNAcentral.
GAUGAACGCUAGCGGGAGGCCUAACACAUGCAAGCCGAGCGGUAUUGUUUCUUCGGAAAUGAGAGAGCGGCGUACGGGUGCGGAACACGUGUGUAACCUGCCUUUAUCUGGGGGAUAACCUUUCGAAAGGAAGAUUAAUACUCCAUAAUAUAUUGAACGGCAUCGUUUAAUAUUGAAAGCACCGGCGGAUAGAGAUGGGCACGCGCAAGAUUAGCUAGUUGGUGAGGUAACGGCUCACCAAGGCGAUGAUCUUUAGGGGCCUGAGAGGGUGAUCCCCCACACUGGUACUGAGACACGGACCAGACUCCUACGGGAGGCAGCAGUGAGGAAUAUUGGUCAAUGGGUGCAAGCCUGAACCAGCCAUCCCGCGUGAAGGACGACUGCCCUAUGGGUUGUAAAC